GAUGAACGCUGGCGGAGUGCCUAACACAUGCAAGUCGAGCGGCAGCGCGAGUAGUUUACUACUUGGCGGCGAGCGGCGGACGGCUGAGUAACGCGUGGGAACGUGCCCCAAAGUGAGGAAUAACUGCCCGAAAGGGUAGCUAAUGCCGCAUAUGAUCUUCGGAUUAAAGUAUUUAUUACGCUUUGGGAGCGGCCCGCGUCCGAUUAGAUAGUUGGUGAGGUAAAGGCUCACCAAGUCUACGAUCGGUAACUGGUCUGAGAGGAUGAUCAGUCAGACUGGAACUGAGACACGGUCCAGACACCUACGGGAGGCUG
RNAcentral lists this ribosomal RNA (314 nucleotides) under uncultured Candidatus Saccharibacteria bacterium. RNAcentral's name for it is "bacterial SSU rRNA". It matches the Rfam family "Bacterial small subunit ribosomal RNA", at positions 28 to 351 of the family's 1533-position model. The record is from RNAcentral. Lineage: Bacteria; Candidatus Saccharimonadota.